ACAGUUCAUUCGAUCCCCAGUCUCUAGUGUCGGAUCAGAUCCCACCGAAACGCCCACACAGUGUUGAAAGCAAGAAAUCCUUCCGCAGCCAGUCAAUGCUUGUUGGAUUCGAUUGAUUCGACGAGCCAUGACAAAAAGAUAGGGCGAUUCGAUUCGUUUCGUUUCAAGGCGCAAACAUGAAGCAGCGGAGCCUCUCGCUGUCCCGACCGCCCCCUCCCACUCCGGCGGGACCCGCCACCGUCCUGUGCCCUUCCUUCCCAGGAUGGUAAGGCAAACGAAAUCAGUGGAGUGGUCACUUAAUCCUUUCGACCACAUCACAGCUCGACGCCUUACCACCAGUACAAAGGGGAAGGAGAUGGAGGCUCGCUCCGCUCCCCUCCUCCUCCCGCCCGAACAGACUCCACCACCACCUCGACCCGACCCCAGGCUGGAAAUGGCGGCCUCCCUCCACCCUCGCGCUCUCCCCCACCACGCAGUUUGCAGGUGGUAGUUGCUCCGUCCGUGAUGCGCUGAGGCGGACGCCGGCGCCGCGCGUGGCCGCUGUCUCCUCCAUCCAACUCCGCACGUGCUCUUGGGGCGCGCUGCGCCCUCUACGGCUGGAGCUUGUCGUGGCCCCUCCUCGCCCUGGCGCUGCCCGCUGCAGGGCGCCUCUGUUCCGGCCUCACGCAUGUAUGCACCCACGCCAGACUUCUCUCCACCAUACGAUCUCCAGCAGCAGCGUCGCUGCCGUUGCUCGCGUCCCGGCGCCCAUCGUCACGCCUAGGGUAGGGCCUGGGUUGCCGGGAGGGAGGCAGGUGGGUGGAGGGAUCGGCCACAAGCAGCUCGGUCAACGACUGGAGUGGCCAGCUGAACGGGGAGAGAGAGCGGGAGGGGAUCUUAUUUGUUGUUUUAAUAAAAAAACAAUCACUUCAACAAAACGACAGAAUGAGUACAACCGCUCGAAUUCAUCAGUUCAAUAAUGGUAACAGAAUAUUAUUCUGUUACACGACCUCCAUCCGGGAAAAGUUGUCUCCGUGGUGUUUUUUUGGAAACCCCCCCAGCGAAUUCCCCACAAACCAGCAGCUCCUUGUCGUCUCCCACGCUCCUCUGUCGCGACGGAAGUCUGCUCCCCCGCGCUUCCGCAGCUCCCCCGCAGCCCUCCCGUGUCGCCGGAGCUUUCCCGCCCCAUGCCUCCCCCACCCCAUGCCUCCCCCAAAGCUUCCCUCUCCUUGUUCCCCAUGGUGAUCCAUGGCAAGCAAAAGACUCAUGCUUUCUUUCAAUCUGCUCAGAGCGGCCAUUUCCAGGUCCUCCUCAUCGGGGCUGCGGCGGCGACGUGGGCGAGUAGGAGCAGUGGGCGCACGAGCAUGCCGCGAAGGAGGCCACCUUCGGCGUCGGCGUGCCCGCCGCCAUGCUGCGGUGCGUCAACGACCUCGCGGACGCGCCGGAUCUGGGCCACCACCAGCAGAGACGUAGCCGACGGGCCCGAUGACAACAAGCUCCCCCUUCCGAGCUCGAUGAGGAAUAUGGAGGCCGCGACGUCUUCUUGGCCGGUUAUGCCCCCCCCCCUUCAAAACUGAUUUUUGUGUCAGAACUGAAAUUGUUGGUAGAGAAAUUGUUUGACAGUCUUUUGUGUUUGUUUCCGUUUCAACAGAGCUCCAACCAAGUUGAAUCUUGAAUGGAUGGCCAUUUCUUUGAAGGAUUGGCGUUUUUGAGUUUGCUUGCUCGCGUCCCGGCGCCCAUCGUCACGCCUAGGGUAGGGCCUGGGUUGCCGGGAGGGAGGCAGGUGGGUGGAGGGAUCGGCCACAAGCAGCUCGGUCGACGGCUGGAGUGGCCAGCUGAACGGGGAGAGAGCGGGAGGGGAUCUUAUUUGUUGUUUUAAUAAAAAAACAAUCAGUUCAACAAAACGACAGAAUGAGUACAACCGCUCGAAUUCAUCAGUUCAAUAAUGAUUAUUCUGUUACACGACCUCCCUCCGGGAAAAGUUGUCUCCGUGGUGUUUUUUUGGAAAACCCCCCAGCGAAUUCCCCACAAACCAGCAGCUCCUUGUCGUCUCCCACGCUCCUCUGUCGCGACGGAAGUCUGCUCCCCCGCGCUUCCGCAGCUCCCCCGCAGCCCCCCGUGUCGCCGGAGCUUUCCCGCCCCAUGCCUCCCCCAAAGCUUCCCUCUCCUUGUUCCCCUCCUUGUUCCCUAUGGUGAUCCAUGGCAAGCAAAAGACUCAUGCUUUCUUUUAAUCUGCUCAGAGCGGCCAUUUCCAAGUCCUCCUCAUCGGGGCUGGGGCGGCAGCUCGCCCGUGGCGGCGACGUGGGCGAGUAGCAGCAGUGGGCGCACGAGCAUGCCGCGAAGGAGGUCACCUUCGGCGUCGGCGUGCCCGCCGCCAUGCUGCGGUGCGUCAACGACCUCGCGGACGCGCCGGAUCUGGGCCACCACCAGCAGAGACGUAGCCGACGGGCCCGAUGACAACAAGCUCCCCCUUCCGAGCUCGAUGAGGAAUAUGGGGGCCGCGACGUCUUACCGAAAAAGGCUCACGCCCCGCUUUAUAGAUAAAGCCAAUGCCAAAGCCAACAUCCACAAGGUUCACACCACCAAGGACACACACACACACAUAGUCCAGGAACAAACAAGCAUCAAGGGUUAGUGCUGAGGGCACAGCUCAACAAGCCCAACACACACACAAAAAGCGGCACACACGCCGGGAGAGAGACGCCUCUAGUCGGGCUCCGGGGGAGGCGGCGGGAGCGGCGGUGCCAGGCGGAAGGCCAACGAACGAAGGUCGGAGAGGAGUCUGUCGAUGGCAUCCCGGUCCGGAGGGCGGCUAAGCGGCCGCCAGAGCUGCAAGUAACCACACAUUUUGAAGAUGGAGUCAGUCGCACGUCGAAGAGGCACCUUCUGAAUGACAAGCUUAUUGCGAACCGUCCACAACGUCCAAGCCAGCACCCCAACGCACAGCCAUCUAAUAUGUCUGUAGCGUGGAUGGGAGGCCUGGAUUUCCGCAAGCAAGUCCAGGAAGUUGUUAUUACACCACUGUCCCCCAACCGUUUCGCGAAAACACGCCCAUAGGAACUGUGCCGUGCAACAGGAGAAGAAGAUGUGAUUGGCAUCCUCCGCCGUGUCACAUAGGGGGCACAUCCCAUCCCCAGGCCCAUGGCGCUUGAGGACCUCCACGCCGGACGGGAGGCGGCCGCGGAUCCAUUGCCACAAGAAGAUCCGGAUCUUAAGUGCCGCGACGUCUUCUUGGCCGAGCUCCAACCAAGUUGAAUCUUGAAUGGAUGGCCAUUUCUUUGAAGGAUUGGCGUUUUUGAGUUUGCUGUAAGCAAUUUUACAGGGCUAAUGACUUUGAAGUUGAUGCUGCUAGGAAGCAGCUGAUGCACUUUGAGUUGUACAUUUGGUCUGAGAGGCAGAUGGGGUGAAUUAGGAUUACUCUGCACAAUUAGGGACACUGAAGAGGCAGGUUAGUUCAGAGUUGAGCAUCUCCAACACAUGUUCAGCUUACUACUGCAUUGAGGUGCUUCAUUCAAGAUUCAACUGGGUUGGAGAACCGUCUGCCUGCCUAUUGAUGAUGGUCUCAACUUGUCUGAACAAUGAACAAGCAGGCAGAUUUGAGGUGCUGAUGUAGUGUAGGGACUGAUUGAUGCACCUCAAAUGCUUGGUAAAUUAACUAGGAGUACAUGAUUCUGGAUGCACUUUAUUCUUCUUUCUUUCUAAUGGUUGUUCCUAUAACAAACUGAAUUGUUUCCAAUUAUUCAUAAAUAAUUUUCAGUUAUGCAUAGUUUCAGAAAUAAUGUUUCCAAUUUGGCUAAAUCUGGCCUGAAUUUGCUGCUAGUGCUAGGACAUGCUCAACACCGCCCUGUUUCAUUCUUGUUUUUUGUAGAACUGAAUUUACUAGCACCAUUUUGCAACUUGCUAUUACUGUACAAAUUCCCACCUGCUCCCCUGUUUCUUGGUCAAAACUGAAUGUUGACAGAGUUUUGGUCAAAACAUUAGAUGAUGUGAGCUUUUUCAGCUAUCCAAAGUUUUAAGAGUUUUAGAAGUAUUGCUUGUCAAAUCAGUGAGUAGAAAUUUUAGGGCUAUGUCUAGAAGAAGAAGAAAAAGAAAAAGAAGAAGAAGACCCAAACUACAAAUGGCUGCCAUAAUGACAAAAGAUGAUCCAAACUAAAUUUCUGAUUUAUAAAUGAGGCUAAGUAUUCAGCUUCUUCUUAUAACUGAACUAAUGCUCUUCUCUUUACCUCUAACAAGCUUGCUCAUUCAUUUUGGCAGUACACUUUUCAAAGGCUUAAUUACCUCCCCAUUUUUUGAGUCUGAGUAUUCAGUUUGACUAAAUUCAAAAAAUUCAGUUUGACUUUGAGAGGGAAUAAACUACUAUUGUUCACUGUAGUUUAUUGCAUAAUUAUGCACAAUUUAGUUUACUGUAGUUUGUUGAAUCAAAAUGAAUCAAGAUACAGUAGCUGAAAAUAUUUGGAAAUAUAGUCCAACCUUGAGUAAUCUGGUGGAAUGAUAUUAAUUGUUUCCAAAAUAAAUUGAUAGAUUGCUGACCAUUAUAAUUAGUUCAUCAUUCAACCAUAGUUGUUGAUGCUAAAAUUUCAGCAAGCAAGCAUUUCAUCAAAGCCAAACAUACACAAACAUAAAUGCAGUCUUUUGGAUCCACACUGGUCGCUGUAGUUGAAGACCACACAGGAAUUUGAACUUCAGUUUAAAUUUGAACUUCAAUUUCAUCAAAAUUGGUAGUACAUGCAGCAUCACUGAAUUUAAAUGUGCACACUGAAUUUUUACAGGCAACAGCACUGAACUUUACCUCUUGCGGCACAGGCGGGCAG
Molecule: long non-coding RNA, 4790 nt
Organism: Triticum aestivum (bread wheat)
Lineage: Eukaryota; Viridiplantae; Streptophyta; Magnoliopsida; Poales; Poaceae
Exons: 3
Source: RefSeq, a predicted model, not a curated record